Molecule: transfer RNA, 76 nt
Filed under: Salmonella enterica subsp. enterica
Lineage: Bacteria; Pseudomonadati; Pseudomonadota; Gammaproteobacteria; Enterobacterales; Enterobacteriaceae
Description: tRNA-???(tg)
Rfam family: tRNA
About the family: Transfer RNA (tRNA) molecules are approximately 80 nucleotides in length.
Source: RNAcentral
CGGCGAGUAGCGCAGCUUGGUAGCGCAACUGGUUUGGGACAGUGGGUCGGAGGUUCGAAUCCUCUCUCGCCGACCA